This 577-nucleotide long non-coding RNA is filed under the name Fragaria vesca (wild strawberry). RNAcentral describes it as "long non-coding RNA (FVES_LNC001261)". The record is from RNAcentral. Lineage: Eukaryota; Viridiplantae; Streptophyta; Magnoliopsida; Rosales; Rosaceae.
ACUAGUCGAUCAGUCUCUCUUGGUCUAUCCAUCUUCAGAUCGAAACAAACCAGUCGAUCCCUCUUCAGAAACAUACCAGUCUCUCUUCCUCUUCAGAUAAAAAUUCAGGUUGGUUUUUGUUUCCUUACUCUUCUAGAUUUUUUUUUUUCUGGGUUGGUGAAUUUAAUGGAUUGUAGCUGCUAAUCCUUCUCCAAUGGAACAAGAUAAUCCUUCAGUGGCAAUUAUGAGCUGAGGUUAAGUGAGUUACUAAAGCUUAAGUUGAUGUGUCUUGUUUUUGAAGUGAGUUGGUUUCCAAUUUCUGGUUACCACAUGGUUGUUGUUCAAAUGUAGUUUUGACUUUUGAGAACUGUUGAGAAGUUUGUUUUGUUUUAAUGCAGUGUAAAAUGGGAUCCUAGAAACAAAUACUUCCGUCGUUUGUUGAAGGGCCUUUGUUGAAUAGAAGAUGGUAGUGUAGGGAGAGAAUAAAAGAGGGAUAUUGUAGUUGGCUGUUAUGUGGCUUUUGGAUGGUUUAUUCCCUGUUUGUAAAAGUAUGAUUCUCAUACAUGAAAUUUAUGGUUCUCUUAAUGUUCAUGCUAGU